AAAGGAUUUGCGAGAUUAGUUUUAAGUUAUACUUCCCGACGACCGAUUUAAAUGAUUUAUGAAGCACAAGAGAUCUAGGAGAGUGAGCUUUCAUCCAGAAGUAGUCCUGAGUCAUUCUCUUUAACGGUUCAAAAGUUAUAGAUAGUUUAAUGAAAACAUUUCCAGCAACCUCGCGUAUGAAGUGACCAUAGAAAGGAGACAUGACAAAAAAAACAUGAACCUGCGGCUAGAGGCACCGUCCCUGUUACUAGGGUGACAUUUCAUACAAUCCUCCUCUUUUUCCUUUUUCAACUUUGAAAAAACCCUAACCCAACUCUGAAGCCCCAAGACAUUAUAUAUACUCAUUUUUAAUAAGGUUUUCGACACAAACUUCAUGAGAGAACAUCUUCCAAAACUCUGAACAAAAAACAAAUCCAAAAACACUUUUAGAUUUAGAGAUGUUUAUGAACCCGCUAUAUUCUUUGUACUUCGAUAUAGAGAUGUUUAUGAACCCGCUAUAUUCUAUUUCCUUUUAUUUAUGAUUAUGAAUAUGCAUUCCUACACAAUGUUUCCUGCAUGUU
RNAcentral lists this long non-coding RNA (560 nucleotides) under Arabidopsis lyrata. RNAcentral's name for it is "long non-coding RNA (ALYR_LNC000564)". The record is from RNAcentral. Lineage: Eukaryota; Viridiplantae; Streptophyta; Magnoliopsida; Brassicales; Brassicaceae.